UCCGGUGGUUAUAACGGCGAGGCCACACCUGUUCCCAUCCCGAACACAGAAGUUAAGCUCGUCGGUGUCCAAGAUACUUGGCUGGAGACGGCCCGGGAAAAUAGAACGCUGCCGGAU
Molecule: ribosomal RNA, 117 nt
Filed under: Clostridiales bacterium
Lineage: Bacteria; Bacillati; Bacillota; Clostridia; Eubacteriales
Source: RNAcentral